GAUGAAGAACGUAGCGAAAUGCGAUAAGUAGUGUGAAUUGCAGAAUUCAGUGAAUCAUCGAAUCUUUGAACGCACAUUGCGCCCUUUGGUAAUCCAAAGGGCAUGCCUGUUCGAGCGUCAUUUGUACCCUCAAGCUUUGCUUGGUGUUGGGCGUCUUGUCUCUAGCUUUGCUGGAGACUCGCCUUAAAGUAAUUGGCAGCCGGCCUACUGGUUUCGGAGCGCAGCACAAGUCGCACUCUCUAUCAGCAAAGGUCUAGCAUCCAUUAAGCCUUUUUUUCAACUUUUGACCUCGGAUCAGGUAGGGAUACCCGCUGAACUUAAGCAUAUCAAUAAGCGGAGGA
Molecule: unclassified non-coding RNA, 341 nt
Filed under: soil metagenome
Description: partial contains 5.8S ribosomal RNA, internal transcribed spacer 2, and large subunit ribosomal RNA
Rfam family: 5.8S ribosomal RNA (bases 1-120)
Source: RNAcentral